Molecule: ribosomal RNA, 497 nt
Filed under: uncultured bacterium
Lineage: Bacteria
Description: partial 16S ribosomal RNA
Rfam family: Bacterial small subunit ribosomal RNA
Source: RNAcentral
GAUGAACGCUGGCGGCGUGCCUAAUACGUGCAAGUCGAGCGAACAGACGAGGAGCUUGCUCCUCUGACGUUAGCGGCGGACGGGUGAGAAACACGUGGAUAACCUACCUAUAAGACUGGGAUAACUUCGGGAAACCGGAGCUAAUACCGGAUAAUAUAUUGAACCGCAUGGUUCAAUAGUGAAAGACGGUUUUGCUGUCACUUAUAGAUGGAUCCGCGCCGCAUUAGCUAGUUGGUAAGGUAACGGCUUACCAAGGCAACGAUGCGUAGCCGACCUGAGAGGGUGAUCGGCCACACUGGAACUGAGACACGGUCCAGACUCCUACGGGAGGCAGCAGUAGGGAAUCUUCCGCAAUGGGCGAAAGCCUGACGGAGCAACGCCGCGUGAGUGAUGAAGGUCUUCGGAUCGUAAAACUCUGUUAUUAGGGAAGAACAAAUGUGUAAGUAACUAUGCACGUCUUGACGGUACCUAAUCAGAAAGCCACGGCUAACUACGUG